AACGAACGCUGGCGGCGCGCCUAAUACAUGCAAGUCGAGCGAGAAGACGUAGCAAUACGUUUGUAAAGCGGCGAACGGGUGAGGAAUACAUGGGUAACCUACCCUCGAGUGGGGAAUAACUAGCCGAAAGGUUAGCUAAUACCGCGUACGCUCCUUGGACUUCGGUUCAGGGAGGAAAGCGAUACCGUGGGUAUCGCGCUCUUGGAUGGGCUCAUGUCCUAUCAGCUUGUUGGUGGGGAACGGCUCACCAAGGCUUCGACGGGUAGCUGGUCUGAGAGGACGAUCAGCCACACUGGCACUGCGACACGGGCCAGACUCCUACGGGAGGC
This 329-nucleotide ribosomal RNA is filed under the name uncultured bacterium. RNAcentral's name for it is "bacterial SSU rRNA". It matches the Rfam family "Bacterial small subunit ribosomal RNA", at positions 29 to 349 of the family's 1533-position model. The record is from RNAcentral.